Non-coding RNA from Peromyscus maniculatus bairdii (prairie deer mouse), 535 nucleotides. NCBI's taxonomy places the organism in Eukaryota, Metazoa, Chordata, Mammalia, Rodentia, Cricetidae. The record is from RefSeq and is a predicted model, not a curated record.
CCCCCCCGUGGCCGUAAAGUGCAAAACUAACUUCCGCCAGGGGAGCCGCCACGCUCCUUUUCACGACUCGCGGCCGAAAAGCAACACACAGCCCGGCGGAGGACGAGCAAAAAAGGAAUUACGCAACAGUAUACUCCAUUAGCUUUGCUUCGGAUAUCACAUGAGACGGGUCAUGAUGGUGGCAACUUUUCAUCCCAGGAAAUCAGAGAACUGGCUCUGGACCCAUUGUGAAACUGCCCGUUGGACCAAUUCACUACAAAAAGCUGAACCCCAAACAAUGCAGGGCCUUGCUUUCUAUACAUUUUCAGCUCCUUUGUCUCCACUUCUAUAUUAACGUCCAUUCUCAUUGGGCACUCAUAAGGCUAUAUAGGAAGAUGACUGGGCUGUGCGAGCAUAUACUCCUCCCCUUUCUGGAAGAAACUCUUACCACAGCCUGUACCCACUCUCCAGACUGCCAUGCCUCUGUCUUCUAAGUGCCCCUAAAUCUUAUCUCCAGGGAGGAGUGCUUCAGAUUUGGGGUUCCUGUCUACGUGUC